Molecule: long non-coding RNA, 681 nt
Filed under: Mus pahari (shrew mouse)
Lineage: Eukaryota; Metazoa; Chordata; Mammalia; Rodentia; Muridae
Description: lncRNA (MGP_PahariEiJ_G0006314.1)
Source: RNAcentral
AACCUAAAACUUUUGUUCACCAGCCGCUCAACUUUUCAGUCUGAGGCUGAGCUGGAACCUGCAGCAAGGCUUUGACGGUACCAAAUUACAUAUAGAUCUGUCAAAAUGAUGUAAGACCUGAAAUUGCUCUGUAAGUUGAUCCUCUUUGACCCCCAUGAUUUGGAGCUUCACAGUAUGGCACCACACCUGGAAACCUGCCGUGCAAGAUCUCAAACAGGCACAGGAAAUUCCUGGAACAGCAAUGCAUCCUAGUUGAAGACAUCCAGUUAUCCCUCAGUGCAACAGAAGCAUCACUGUUAAUUAACUGCUGAUAUGCUUGAAAGAGUUUGUUUGGCAGUGGUCUUGUGGAGAGAGCCGAACCAGGUGUAUUUUUAGAAUGCUGUAGACAAUGCUGUCAUAGUCAGUUAACUUCUACAUCUCAUGGCCUUAACAAAUGCGUCCAUUUUUAUUCUUUCAAAAUCUUGUGCAAGAUGGUAGACAGCUAUUGAUAUUGUGGAUUGUGGGUUAGUCAUCUCAGCAAGACUCUCCAAGAUGCUGCGGGAAGGAGGGAAAUAGAUAGGUGAAGGGUCACAUAUCUGGACUUAGACAUUUUAAUCUAAAGGGGAUAAGUAUCAUUUCUGUUUACCAGACUACUACCAAAAAUUUGUGUACACCUAAGAAUAACCUGAGAAAUAUUUGGGA